AUGUGGGCGAUGGCUCCGCGCACGCUGCUCCUGCUGCUGGCGGCCGCCCUGGCCCCGACCCAGACCCGCGCAGGCUCACACUCGAUGCGGUAUUUCAACACCGCCUUGUCCCGGCCCGGCUCCGGGGAGCCCCGGUACAUGGAAGUCGGCUACGUGGACGACACGCAGUUCGUGCGCUUCGACAGCGACGCGGAGAAUUAGAGGAUGGAGCCGCGCGCGCCGUGGGUGGAGCAGGUGGGGCCGGAGUAUUGGGAGCGGGAGACACGAAGAGCCAAGAGCAAUGAGCAGAUGUUCCGAGUGAACCUGAGGACCCUGCUUGGCUACUACAACCAGAGCGAGGGCGGCGCUCACACAGUCCAGGUGAUGUAUGGCUGUGACGUGGGGUCGGACGGGAGCUUUCUCCGCUGGUACAUGCAGCACGCCUAUGACGGCCGCGAUUACAUCGCCCUGAACGAAGACAUGAAAACGUGGACAGUGGUGGACAUGGCGGCGCAGAUCACCCGACACUCGUGGGAGCAAGCUGGUGUUGCAGAGAGUGUCAGGGCCUACCUGGAGGGCGAGUGCGUGGAGUGGCUCCACAGAUACCCGGAGCUCGGGAAGGAGACACUGCUGCGCACAGAUCCCCCAAAGGCUCAUGUGAACCACCACCCCAGAUCUGAAGGUGAUGUCACCCUGAGGUGCUGGGCCCUGGGCUUCUACCCUGCUGACAUCACCCUGACCUGGCAAUUGAAUGAGGAGGACCUGACCCAGGACAUGGAGUUUGUGGAGACCAGGCCUUCAGGGGAUGGAACCUUCCAGAAGUGGGCAUCUGUGGUGGUGCCUCUUGGGAAGGAGCAGAAUUACACAUGCCAUGUGCAACAUGAGGGGCUGCCUGAACCCCUCACCCUGAGAUGGGAGCCUCCUCCAUCCACUGACUCUAACAUGGUGAUCAUUGCUGUUCUGGUUGUCCUUGCUGUGGCCAUCAUUGGAGCUGUGGUAGCUUUUGUGAUGAAGAGGAGGAGAAACACAGCAUGAAGACAGCAGCCUGGAGUGGACUGAGUGACAGACAGUGUGAGAGACAGGUGUCUCCAGUGAUGUCCAGAGCCCAGUUCUCUUUAGACAACACUGUCUGAUGUUCCCUGUGAUCCUGUGGGCUUAAUGUGAAGAACUGUGGAGCCGAACCUGCCC
Non-coding RNA from Arvicanthis niloticus (Nile rat), 1167 nucleotides. The record is from RefSeq and is a predicted model, not a curated record. NCBI's taxonomy places the organism in Eukaryota, Metazoa, Chordata, Mammalia, Rodentia, Muridae.